GUGCUCGCUCCGGCAGCACGUAUACUAAAGUUGGAACGAUACAGAGAAGAUUACCACGGCCCUGUGCAAGGAUGACAUGCGCACUCGUGAAGUGUUCCAUGUCUUU
This is a small nuclear RNA of Lagenorhynchus albirostris (white-beaked dolphin), 106 nucleotides long. The record is from RefSeq and is a predicted model, not a curated record. NCBI's taxonomy places the organism in Eukaryota, Metazoa, Chordata, Mammalia, Artiodactyla, Delphinidae.